UACAGAGGGGGCUAGCGUUGUUCGGAAUCACUGGGUGUAAAGGGUGCGUAGGCUGUCCGUUAAGUCUGAUGUGAAAGCCCUGGGCUCAACUCAGGAAUUGCAUUGGAAACUGGCGGACUCAGAGUACCGGAGAGGGAAGCGGAAUUCCUGGUGUAGCGGUGAAAUGCGCAGAUAUCGGGAGGAACACCAGUGGCGAAGGCGGCACUCUGGGCCGGUACUGACGCUGAGGAGCGAAAGCGUGGGGAGCGAACAGG
Molecule: ribosomal RNA, 254 nt
Filed under: uncultured bacterium
Lineage: Bacteria
Description: partial 16S ribosomal RNA
Rfam family: Bacterial small subunit ribosomal RNA
Source: RNAcentral